GACGAACGCUGGCGGCGUGCUUAACACAUGCAAGUCGUACGGUAAGGCCCUUUCGGGGGUACACGAGUGGCGAACGGGUGAGUAACACGUGAGUAACCUGCCCACAACUUUGGGAUAACGCUAGGAAACUGGUGCUAAUACUGGAUAUGUGCUCCUGCUGCAUGGUGGGGGUUGGAAAGCUCCGGCGGUUGUGGAUGGACUCGCGGCCUAUCAGCUUGUUGGUGGGGUAGUGGCCUACCAAGGCGGCGACGGGUAGCCGGCCUGGGAGGGUGACCGGCCACAUUGGGACUGAGAUACGGCCCAGACUCCUACGGGAGGCAGCAGUGGGGAAUAUUGCAAAAUGGGCGCAAGCCUGAUGCAGCAACGCCGCGUGCGGGAUGACGGCCUUCGGGUUGUAAACCGCUUUCAGCAGGGACGAAGCUUUUUGUGACGGUACCUGCAGAAGAAGCACCGGCUAACUACGUG
This 465-nucleotide ribosomal RNA is filed under the name uncultured bacterium. Its description in RNAcentral is "partial 16S ribosomal RNA". It matches the Rfam family "Bacterial small subunit ribosomal RNA", at positions 28 to 507 of the family's 1533-position model. The record is from RNAcentral.